RNAcentral lists this transfer RNA (75 nucleotides) under Phycisphaerae bacterium. RNAcentral's name for it is "tRNA-Cys". It matches the Rfam family "tRNA". Rfam says of the family: Transfer RNA (tRNA) molecules are approximately 80 nucleotides in length. Their secondary structure includes four short double-helical elements and three loops (D, anti-codon, and T loops). Further hydrogen bonds mediate the characteristic L-shaped molecular structure. tRNAs have two regions of fundamental functional importance: the anti-codon, which is responsible for specific mRNA codon recognition, and the 3' end, to which the tRNAs corresponding amino acid is attached (by aminoacyl-tRNA synthetases). tRNAs cope with the degeneracy of the genetic code in two manners: having more than one tRNA (with a specific anti-codon) for a particular amino acid; and 'wobble' base-pairing, i.e. permitting non-standard base-pairing at the 3rd anti-codon position. Lineage: Bacteria; Pseudomonadati; Planctomycetota; Phycisphaerae. The record is from RNAcentral.
GGCCGAGUACCCAAGUGGCCCAAGGGGACGGAUUGCAAAUCCGUUAUUCGUGGGUUCGAAUCCCACCUCGGCCUC